GUAGGUGGCAAGCGUUGUCCGGAAUUAUUGGGCGUAAAGCGCGCGCAGGCGGUUCUUUAAGUCUGAUGUGAAAGCCCACGGCUCAACCGGUGGAGGGUCAUUGGAAACUGGAGAACUUGAGUACAGAAGAGGAAAGCGGAAUUCACGUGUAGCGGUGAAAUGCGUAGAGAUGUGGAGGAACACCAGUGGCGAAGGCGGCUUUCUGGUCUGUAACUGACGCUGAGGCGCGAAAGCGUGGGGAGCAAACAGGGAUUAGAUACCCUGGCAGUCCACGCCGUAAACGAUGAGUGCUAAGUGUUAGGGGGGUUUUCCGCCCCCCUUAGUGCUGCAGCUAACGCAUUAAGCACUCCGCCUGGGAGUACGGCCGCAAGGCUG
This 375-nucleotide ribosomal RNA is filed under the name uncultured organism. Its description in RNAcentral is "partial 16S ribosomal RNA". It matches the Rfam family "Bacterial small subunit ribosomal RNA", at positions 527 to 896 of the family's 1533-position model. The record is from RNAcentral.